AGAGUUUGAUCCUGGCUCAGAGUGAACGCUGGCGGCAGGCCUAACACAUGCAAGUCGAACGGCAGCACAGGGGAGCUUGCUCCCCGGGUGGCGAGUGGCGGACGGGUGAGGAAUACAUCGGAAUCUGCCCAGUCGUGGGGGAUAACCUCGGGAAACCGGGACUAAUACCGCAUACGACCUUCGGGUGAAAGCAGGGGAUCGCAAGACCUUGCGCGAUGGGAUGAGCCGAUGUCGGAUUAGCUAGUUGGCGGGGUAAAGGCCCACCAAGGCGACGAUCCGUAGCUGGUCUGAGAGGAUGAUCAGCCACACUGGAACUGAGACACGGUCCAGACUCCUACGGGAGGCAGCGGUGGGGAAUAUUGGACAAUGGGCGCAAGCCUGAUCCAGCCAUGCCGCGUGAGUGAAGAAGGCCUUCGGGUUGUAAAGCUCUUUUGUCCGGAAAGAAAAGCUUUCGGUUAAUACCCGGAAGUCCUGACGGUACCGGAAGAAUAAGCACCGGCUAACUUCGUGCCAGCAGCCGCGGUAAUACGAAGGGUGCAAGCGUUACUCGGAAUUACUGGGCGUAAAGCGUGCGUAGGUGGUUCGUUAAGUCUGAUGUGAAAGCCCUGGGCUCAACCUGGGAAUUGCAUUGGAUACUGGCGGGCUAGAGUGCGGUAGAGGAUGGCGGAAUUCCCGGUGUAGCAGUGAAAUGCGUAGAGAUCGGGAGGAACAUCCGUGGCGAAGGCGGCCAUCUGGACCAGCACUGACACUGAGGCACGAAAGCGUGGGGGAGCAAACAGGAUUAGAUACCCUGGUAGUCC
Molecule: ribosomal RNA, 800 nt
Filed under: uncultured bacterium
Lineage: Bacteria
Description: bacterial SSU rRNA
Rfam family: Bacterial small subunit ribosomal RNA
Source: RNAcentral